Molecule: ribosomal RNA, 637 nt
Filed under: uncultured Lyngbya sp.
Lineage: Bacteria; Bacillati; Cyanobacteriota; Cyanophyceae; Oscillatoriales; Microcoleaceae
Description: bacterial SSU rRNA
Rfam family: Bacterial small subunit ribosomal RNA
Source: RNAcentral
UCUCGGACGGGGGUGGUAACGCGUGAGAAUCUGCCUCUAGGACGGGGACAACAGAAGGAAACUUCUGCUAAUCCCGGAUGAGCCGUAAGGUUAAAGAUUUAUCGCCUAGAGAUGAGCUCGCGUCUGAUUAGCUAGUUGGUGUGGUAAAGGCACACCAAGGCAACGAUCAGUAGCUGGUCUGAGAGGAUGAUCAGCCACACUGGGACUGAGACACGGCCCAGACUCCUACGGGAGGCAGCAGUGGGGAAUUUUCCGCAAUGGGCGAAAGCCUGACGGAGCAAGACCGCGUGGGGGAGGAAAGCCUUUGGGUUGUAAACCCCUUUUCUCAGGGAAGAAGAAAGUGACGGUACCUGAGGAAUCAGCCUCGGCUAACUCCGUGCCAGCAGCCGCGGUAAUACGGAGGAGGCAAGCGUUAUCCGGAAUGAUUGGGCGUAAAGCGUCCGCAGGUGGCUCAUCAAGUCUGCUGUUAAAUCCAGUAGCUUAACUACUGAGGGGCAGUGGAAACUGAGGAGCUAGAGUGCGGUAGGGGCAGAGGGAAUUCCUGGUGUAGCGGUGAAAUGCGUAGAGAUCAGGAAGAACACCGGUGGCGAAAGCGCUCUGCUGGGCCGCAACUGACACUCAGGACGAAGCAGAGUCC